This 460-nucleotide ribosomal RNA is filed under the name uncultured bacterium. Its description in RNAcentral is "partial 16S ribosomal RNA". It matches the Rfam family "Bacterial small subunit ribosomal RNA", at positions 338 to 795 of the family's 1533-position model. The record is from RNAcentral.
CCUACGGGCGGCAGCAGUGAGGAAUAUUGGUCAAUGGGCGGAAGUCUGAACCAGCCAAGUAGCGUGCAGGAUGACUGCCCUAUGGGUUGUAAACUUCUUUUAUAUGGGAAUAAAACGUCUUACGCAUAGGCCUUUGUAUGUACCGUAUGAAUAAGGAUCGGCUAAUUCCGUGCCAGCAGCCGCGGUAAUACGGAGGGUCCGAGCGUUAUCCGGAUUUAUUGGGUUUAAAGGGAGCGUAGGCGGAGUGUUAAGUCAGUUGUGAAAUGUUGCGGCUCAACCGUAAAAUUGCAGCUGAAACUGGCAGGCUUGAGUACAGUAGAGGUGGGCGGAAUUCGUGGUGUAGCGGUGAAAUGCUUAGAUAUCACGAAGAACCCCGAUUGCGAAGGCAGCUUACUGGAGUGGAACUGACACUGAUGCUCGAAAGUGUGGGUAUCGAACAGGAUUAGAUACCCCUGUAGUC